Long non-coding RNA from Dromaius novaehollandiae (emu), 1643 nucleotides. RefSeq lists it as uncharacterized. The record is from RefSeq and is a predicted model, not a curated record. Lineage: Eukaryota; Metazoa; Chordata; Aves; Casuariiformes; Dromaiidae. The transcript has 3 exons.
GUCCAGAUCCAUAUCAUGGCAUGUUUAUUUCUCAUGCUACACAGACUCAACAAGAAGGUACUGUUCUCUAGUAAGAGCACGCUGACCUUUACCAGGCAGCAUUACGUAAAACUAUGUAAAAACUGGCAGAUUUUCUACGAAUGUUGAGUGACUCCCAGAGCUCCAGUGGAAAAACCCUUCCGAACUGCAGGUAAACCAUACUAUUCCAUCAGAGGUGAGCUGCAAUUCUAGCCAGGACUUUGGGAAAGACCGAAUAAGGAAGACCUCAUAUUGAGAACUGUCCUGGCCCACUGGGAAGUCAAUGGAGAGUCUGAUGAACAACACGAUCCUGAUGGUUGUAGGUCAAGUGUCUCAAAUGAUGGAAGAAAUACCUCAAAUGAAAAUGCUAAAGAAUGCCUAUAUGGAUAACUGCAUUUCAUUUAGAGGACACUGCUUACCUUGAGAACGUCUGGCUAUGGUGACAAUCUGAAAUAGCAGGAACGUGCAAAGAACUGGGUGCAUCUAACAUGGAAACUCUUUUCACAGAGACAGAUGUGGCUUUAAAGGAAAGAAUGAGCACUUUAAGAAUGUACUGCUGGUGAAGCCGUACUACCACCAGUCCCAAAAGGAUCUACCACAAAAUGCCAGAAACAUGCUCUUCUUGCAGACACAGUAACAACCUGGACCUCUGACAGAGUAAAGUGGGCUUUGACAGAGGUUUCAGCAGACCCCGAAGAAGAUAGAUAGCUGUUCAUUGUUAAUUGUCUAGCUUGUGGGCAUGCAUAUAUGGUCACUGAAAGAAAGCAAGAGAGGAAAAAGAAUGAAUGCGACUGUUUUGGUUAGCAUCAGACUGAGAUUACCAUUGCUGCUCCACCUUAAAGAAAAUAAAAUACCCACAUCAAUGGAGAGCACCACAAGGGAGGAACCCAACUCACUAUCAUAACUAUCACUUUAUGUCUGAGUCAUUAAACUAACUUAUGCUAAGUAUCCUCAGAUGAAAGGGAUUUUCAAAUAAUGUACACAUAGGACAUGGUACUCUAUCAAGCAGAAAACAUGAUUUGCCCAUUCUGGACUAUUCAGAGUUUGAACCCUGUGUCUGCAUAGACUACCCUGCAAGUUGGUGAUUGAAAGAAAAAAACAACAGCAGCAAACAAACCUUUUUUCCACCACAGGGUUUAGAUAAAAAUAAAAUGCAUUUAUUUUUAGUAUUUGGCUCCAGAUGGAAGUGUGAAGGUAAAAAUAUCCUCAGAAACAAGGUUGAGAAGAGUUUAGGGUGCAAUGUAAUCUUAGAACAGCAAAUCUGAGACUCCAGCAAGAAUCACCCCUGCCAUGGGGGCAGUAAGAGCCAACUAGCACUCAACCUUUUAUACCCUCCUACAAGCAGUAGAUGACAACACAGGGCAUGCCUGAUCCAAACAGAGCUUUCAAAGAAAACCUAGCAUCAGGCAGAUGCACGCUUACAGACACAAGAAGCAACAGCUUAGCAGGGCUUUGGAAUGGCACAUACGUGAAACAUCAUCUUCUAGUUACACCAUAUGCAUUGUACCUCUUUAACCACUGACAUGACAACUGAGCAAUCAGGGCUUUGUGAGACAUUUCGGAUCUGUGGUAGAGCGCUUGCUCUCCAGGCUUCUUUCACCACGCUGCCCAUGCAGUCUAGUGAC